AACUUCUGGCAACGGAUCACUUGGCUCUCGCAGCGAUGAAGAACGCACCGAAAUGCGAUAAGUAAUGUGAAUUGCAGAAUUCAGUGAAUCAUCGAAUCUUUGAACGCACCUUGCGCCCUUUGGCUAUUCCGAAGGGCAUGCCUGUUUGAGUAUCAUGAACACCUCAACUCUCAUGGUUUGCCAUGAUGAGCUUGGACUUUGGGGGUCUUGCUGGUCUAGGGUCAGCUCCUCUCAAAUGGAUCAGCUUGCCAGUGUUUGGUGGCAUCGCAGGUGUGAUAACUAUCUACGCUUGUGGUUUCCUACCAGAUAACCUUCAGCAAUGGAGGUUCGCUGGAGCUCAUAAAUGUCUCUCCUCAGUGAAGACAGCUUUUUGAACGUUUGAUCUCAAAUCAGGUAGGACUACCCGCUGAACUUAAGCAUAUCAAUAAGCGGAGGCU
This 437-nucleotide unclassified non-coding RNA is filed under the name uncultured Tomentella. RNAcentral describes it as "sequence contains ITS2". The stretch from base 1 to 155 matches the Rfam family "5.8S ribosomal RNA". The record is from RNAcentral. Lineage: Eukaryota; Fungi; Basidiomycota; Agaricomycetes; Thelephorales; Thelephoraceae.